RNAcentral lists this long non-coding RNA (978 nucleotides) under Homo sapiens (human). RNAcentral's name for it is "non-protein coding lnc-DDX58-8:1". Lineage: Eukaryota; Metazoa; Chordata; Mammalia; Primates; Hominidae. The record is from RNAcentral.
AUAGUCUUCAUCAAGAUCCUUAUUAUUUCUUGCUAUUUGUGAACCUCCCUGCUUUCAAGUCCUCUUCAAUUGUUUCUUCAGGCCAGACAUUCCAUAUGAGAAGGACUGAGAGUUCAAGGAGACCCAUCUGAUGAAGUGGCACUCCCAAAGAAAAGAUAAAGUCAAAUCUGGCUGGCCAGUUACAACUUCAGAGCUCUUUCAUAACUUUCUGAGGUUGUAGAUAAAUUGGACCUUCGCAGAAGACCGUGGCUGUGGACAAGUAAACAAUUCCUAUCAUACAUUUCUCACUGGAGGGAAAGUUAAAAGUUAGAUUCAAUAAAAGUGACCGCCAUGACUUAACUAAACCAUCCAGCAUCUCCUUGCCGACAGCCUGCCUUAUAUUUACAUGAAAGGAUUUCCUGCCAGUUUAUCAUCUUAGUCUUAAUACCUAGGCCUUUAUCCCCUCAUCUCUAUCCUACCAAUUGCCUGUCUUUUCAUUUUGCACAGAUGGAAUGGGCAAUUGAAGAAGUAAGGCAUCAUUACCUUCUUCUUUUUAAAGAUGUAGGGAGUGAGCACCAGGUUCUGUUCUCAGCAAACCUCUUUAAUCCUAGUGGGGUUGGUUAUAGCAACUUCAAGCCUACCUGACUCCAGUUUUCUCUUCCAAAUCAAUCUUUAAUCCUCAAAAAGGUUGAUUUGAUUGCACAGUCCUUGCUUACUGUAUUUCAAUGGUUCCCUAGGGUUUUCAUAUUAUAGCUGGAGUUCCUUAGCUUGGGAAAAAAAAUUCAUUUUAAGCCCCUUGACUCUCCUUUAUUUUUGUAUUUAACUUUUUAAAAUAAAAAAAUCUGAAAUAUCCUAACAUGUAGAAAUUUGCAGAAGAUCAUUCAUCUUUCUAAAAGCUAGCUUCCUCUAGUCAUCAUUUCCCACUCUAUGCACCAGCCAUGACUUGAGCCCCUAAAAUUUCUCUUGCUAUUUAACACUUCCAUGAUUGUGUCAAUCCUG